This 73-nucleotide transfer RNA is filed under the name Ictidomys tridecemlineatus (thirteen-lined ground squirrel). RNAcentral's name for it is "Spermophilus tridecemlineatus (thirteen-lined ground squirrel) tRNA". It matches the Rfam family "tRNA". From Rfam's summary of the family: Transfer RNA (tRNA) molecules are approximately 80 nucleotides in length. Their secondary structure includes four short double-helical elements and three loops (D, anti-codon, and T loops). Further hydrogen bonds mediate the characteristic L-shaped molecular structure. tRNAs have two regions of fundamental functional importance: the anti-codon, which is responsible for specific mRNA codon recognition, and the 3' end, to which the tRNAs corresponding amino acid is attached (by aminoacyl-tRNA synthetases). tRNAs cope with the degeneracy of the genetic code in two manners: having more than one tRNA (with a specific anti-codon) for a particular amino acid; and 'wobble' base-pairing, i.e. permitting non-standard base-pairing at the 3rd anti-codon position. Lineage: Eukaryota; Metazoa; Chordata; Mammalia; Rodentia; Sciuridae. The record is from Rfam by way of RNAcentral.
UGGGAUGUGGCUCAAGCGAUAGAGCGCUUGCCUGACAUGCGUGGGUUGCUGGGUUCAAUCCUCAGCACCACAU